RNAcentral lists this long non-coding RNA (187 nucleotides) under Gorilla gorilla gorilla (western lowland gorilla). Its description in RNAcentral is "lncRNA (ENSGGOG00000044682.1)". The record is from RNAcentral. Lineage: Eukaryota; Metazoa; Chordata; Mammalia; Primates; Hominidae.
GAAAAAUAUAUAUUACUGCAUAUCAGCAGGGAUAUAAUGGAGAAAAAGGGAUUGAGAUGGAGCAACGCACCACAAUGGACUGUGUUGGAUAAAUAGCAGUUACCUGUUGGAGUUAGAAAGAACACCUAACCAAUGCUCUUCAAAAGUGCUAAAAAGUUGCAAAACAACAACAACAACAACAACAAAA